Molecule: long non-coding RNA, 7576 nt
Filed under: Olea europaea subsp. europaea
Lineage: Eukaryota; Viridiplantae; Streptophyta; Magnoliopsida; Lamiales; Oleaceae
Source: RNAcentral
CAAAUUAUAACCACGCACCCAUCCCUACUACAAAACCUAAAUUAUUUUUCCAUCCCCAUCUCACCAAUCUCUCUAUCUAUCUCUCUACACUCCCGAUCACGAAAAUCACCCUCGUGGGUCAUUCGAUCCACUUGGUGACACCCACAACAUAUAACACCCAACAACCAACGACUUAUCCAAGUCCUAAGCACCAUAACCACCACAUCAAUGGUUGCUGCCUGCAAUCAAAAGAACCAUCCCCACUCAUAACCUCCACCAUUCAAUUCACAGUUUUCCCAAUUUGGCUCCUCGUGGGCAACAAGCUUCGUUGCCUCUGCAAUGUACAGCGAUCUCGUACAAACUGGCUCUUUACAAAUGGCCCUCAAUUCUCCAUCUUAGAAGGCGAUAACGCUCAUAGGUGGUGCUGUAAACGUCGAAGCUUUGAAACGAUUAGUCCAACUUCAGAUCUGGCAAUCGUUGUUAGAGGUGCGGCACGGUGAUGUUGUGGUGUAGUAUGAGUUUUGCUACACGUACACCGAAAUUCACACUCCCCUCAUAUGGGGAGAUCCCACAAUUUUUUUAUUGUCGUGGGGCUCAUCCCCUCACAUGAAAAGAGUGUACAUCGGAGUAUCAAUCCUGAUGUACAAAUAGCAUUUUCCGGUGUAGUAUUGUUAGUGAUUGUGGUUUGGUAAAGGAGGAUAUGAUGUUGGAUUUGAUGCCGUGGUGGCAACGAUUGUGCUUUCGCUUGUGGAGUGGGUAACCCAUUAGAUGGUCUCGUUGGUGUUUUUGCAAAUGGGUAGUGGUGUGGUUUGGUGGUGGUGGCUGCAAGGGACAUGGUGAUCGUGGUAUGUGACCAACUAUUUGAUUAAUCUGUGACCAAAUAUAUAAUUGUGGCCUAAAAAUUCGAUAAUUUGUAAUCAAUUAAUUUGAAAAUUUGUAAUUGACAAAUAAGUUGUGAUAUAUAAAUUUUUUUAUUUGUUACCAAAUAAAUAAAUCGUGAUCUAUCAAAAUUUUUGAUUGUGGCCAUGAAAUAAUAUGUGACUAAUUAAUUUUAUGAUAUUUCACAUUAUGAUCUAUAAGUACGCACCUGUGACUAUUAAUUGUAUAAUUGUGACCUUAAUAUAUUUAAUUAAUAAAAUACUUUUAAUUAAUUAGUUAAUACUUGAGUUUUGCAUUUUUAAACUUAAACCUUGAAAAUGAAAUUGCUCAUGCACAAUGCCUGACUUUUGAAUUUUUCUCGAAAUGAAAUGUGAGCAAUUUAUUACCAAAGUAGAUUUUUCUUUGAUGCACGUUUUAAUUUUAAUUAUACAUUUGUAAUAAAUAAAAUUGUGUUGAUUAGAGCUAAAAUAAAUUACUUAUUUUAUUAGUAGGAGACACUAGGUAAUUGGCUAAGCUUAAAGUAAUUAAAAUUUUUAGUUCUAAAAAUAUUUUUAUAAACAAUUUAUUCAUACUUUUAAGAAAGAAACUUAUUUAUUUUGACAAUGAAAUAGAUGUUACUAUCAAAAUAAACUUACUUUAUAUUUAAUCUUAUAGUUAAAAGAAUUUAUUCCUAUAUAAAUAAUAAGAUUAUAUGUAUAUUAUAGAAGUUGAUCAACACAUGGACAUGGAAGAUACAAAUAUUUUUACCCUCGAAAUUCCUUGUCAUUUUUUUCACUUUAGGUGGAUUCUUUACUCACCGUGGAAUGUGUUGGUAUGAAAGAUUGAAAUCCUCAUGAAAUAGUCUUUUGAGAACGGUGGCGUACAAUAAUAUAUUUCGGUUGCCUUUUUUGGUCAAAACCAGAGCCGAACCUGAUGGGAGGCCCAAGAGGCCUCCACCUCAGGCCCAGAAUUUUAGGGGCCCCAUUUUUUCACUUUUUACAUUUUUUUUUUUUUUGAAAAAACCCACUAUGCCCAUGCGUUCAAAAGAAAAGACUUUCAGACUCAGAGAAAUCAACGGCAAAACUUACAUGUUCAACGGUGGUGGUCGGAGCUAAUGUGGUGGCCAUCCUCACCAAUUCACUGUCAACAAUCCACCUCUUAAUUCACCGCUCCUUUUUGUUUAGGUGAUGUCUAAAAUCUAAAUUUAUUUUUCUUCUUUCUUUCACUUUCUUGUACAUAAUAUAGUAUUUCAGUUUUUUUUUUCUUUUUCUCUUUCCUUUAUUUUGGGAUUUUGGGGUGUAAUUGUUGUUAUAAUGUUAUUGGCUGAUUUCUUCUUGCGGUUUCCAAAAUCUGAUGUUAUGCUCUAUUCUUCAACUUCAUCUAGAAAUUCCUCUUUUUUCUCCGAUUUUGAAAAUUUGAAUCUUUUGAAGGCAUUUUUUAUUUUCCUAACUUUUAAUCAAAUAUUUGAAUGUAAUUUGGAGAAAAAAUAAUGGACUAUUUUGAUGGCAAAGCUCUGCAGCAGAAGAAGAGAGUGUGAAAGGUUUUUAUUUCAUUUCAAAGUUGAAUAGGGCUCACUGGCUUAAUUUUAUACAAGCAAUUCAAUUGCUUAAAAAGUUACGAAUGUUUUUAAGAAGGUUUUAAUUUUAUUUUAAUUUUGCUUUUAGCUGAAUAUAAAUGGGAGAAGAAGGAUGUUUGUUUUGAGUGUAGUUGGACAGAGCCUUUGGUUAUGAUUGAAUCCAUAAAGACAAAGGAAAACUUGCUGAACUUUUGCAUGAUGUAGGCCUUGGAGUUUUUAGCCACUUGUUUGAACAUGAGUUUCUUCCUAUGAUUCACAAGGGAUCAGAAUGGUCUCAUGAGCAAAUGCCCGUAGACGUGGUGGAUCAUAUUGUGGAUGUGCAUCAUAUUGAAAUAGAAUCUGAGGCUAUAAAAAGAGUAAAGGAAAUGAUACUUGCUAGUUCGAAAGGCAAUCGAGUUAUUGGUUGUAGAUGCCUUAUUGAAAGCAAAUAAUUAUCUAGAGAUAGCAUCUCAUAUACAUGAUCCUUCACAAUAUUGGAAGUUAGGUGACACAAUAAUCCAAACUAUUGAGACAGCUCCAAACCUAGAAUUAAAGGAAUCUGGGACUUGAUCCUUCUCAUUCGUCGGAGAGAUUUAUAUCAGUUUUGUAAUGAGUAUGCUAUUCUCGAGGAGCACCUUGACAAUUUUAAGGAUGUCACUUCACAAGAUAUUGUUUGUUCACAGAAAAGUGGUGGAGUGGCCCUUAAAGAAGAGGAUGUUGCAGUCACCAAGGUUUUUAUUUCUUACAUGGAAAUGAUUAAUAGUGAGGUUAUUCCAAAAAAGGGGGGUGGCAAGGUUUAGUCCCAAUCCCAAGUAAUAAAAAUAGAAAUUGAGAGUUAAGAAAAUAAAGAUUUUAUCAUUUUCAUUUUGCCUUUGUUCUAUGGCCUUUGCUGGGAUAUUAUUUAUGGACUGCUUUGGGAUCCCUACAACUUAUUUUUUGCCUUUGCUUUUUUCACUUUUCAGUAAUUGUUAGCUGACGAGUGACUUGAGUCAAAUACUAUGGCUCAUAAAUCUACAUCUGGAGCUCAAAAAAAAAAAUUUAGAGAGAGAGAGAGAGAGAAAGAGUAGAGACAUUAAUUCGAAGUCAGAUUGGAUAAACAAAUAAAUACUUUAAUAAGAAGAGAAGGAAGGAACACCGAAAAUUUUAUUUGUUGUUUUAUUGUCGAUUUAAGUUAACAAAUUUAAUUCCGUAAACUUCUAAUUUUUUAUUUUAUUUUUUUUUAAAAAGGGAUUGUUUGCUACGACUUAGGGCCUAGGGCCCAAAUUUUGAAAUUCGCCUCAAGCCCCGCGAAGCACAGGUAUGGCACUGGUCAAAACUUUCAGUUGUUUGAUAUAGCUGGUUGUAAAAUUCUAUAGAAUAGUACUCAUUAAGUAAUUUUUAAAAAAAAAAAUUUUGAUUGGUGGAUAUAUAACAUGUGCUUAUGAUAUAUAACAUGUGCUUAGGGGUGAGCGCUUCAGAACCGAACUGAACCAAAAUUUUCAGGUAUCUAGUAAAUGGAACCGUCGGGUCCAAAUAUAAUUAUGGAGCCGUUCGGGUUCUGUUCCGUUCGGGUCGGUUCCGUUCGGUUUUGUACUAUAAUUAAAUUUUUUAACAUUUAUAACAACAUUAUAUAAAUACAACUAAUGAUACAUUUAAUGGUUUUGGAAUGUCAAAGACUAGUAGACUACCUUAUUCAAAUGAUCGCUAUGGUCAAAGUUUCGGUCGGCGGAGAUCACAGCUUCAAUCAGAGGUCACAGUAUCGACCGAUGAUUGUAUAGGUUUUGGAAUGUUAGCGAGGCUGCGAGAGUGAGUGCGAGAGUCUAGACAACGGUAUAUGCUUUAGUGUAGGUGUUUAGGGUUAUUUAGUGGAUUGUAUUUUGUUGAGUUAAGAAAUGAAACAAUAAAAUGGGUAAUUGAGUCAAAAAUUAAAAAAUUAGAAAUAAAACAAAUUAUUAGGUCAAAAUUUGAAUUUAAAAAUGUUUAAUUUCUUUAAAAUAAAUUAAAAUUAAAAUAAUUUGAUUUACUCAAAAUAAAAAAAAAUUAGAAAGAUUCGGUUCUUAUUCGAUUUUUCGGUUCUUGGUCUAGAACCGAGAACCGAACCGUACCCGUCAGUUCUCAAUUCAGAUACCCGUUUGGGUAUUUAAUUUGACAAGAACCGUCGGGUUCGGUUCAGUUCGGUUCGGGUUCGGUUCGGGAGAUUUGCCCAGCCCUACAUGUGCUUAUGUUUAUCAUGCUUCUAUCGGUUUAUAUUUCUAAGGUGAGCAGUCUCCUAAAUUCGAUCUCUUGCAACAUAAGUUUAUUUAGAAGUUUGAAAUUUUAGCCCUCUUUAUAAUUAUUUUCUAGCUCCGUCCCUGACGGUCGAGGUGUAGGAUUACUAAUUGACGAUGGACCUUCAGGGCCACGAAUAAAAGAGGGUCGGGAAAUGGAAUAAGCCAUGUGGUAAGAUUCUGAGGAACGUGUCGAUGAUGUGAUGCGGGCUGAGAAAGGGAAAGAGAUAAGGAUGAAUGAAGGUAGAGAGUGAAGGAGAUGACUGGCUUUGCUGGACAAAUAAUGAUGCCAUAAUGUACCUAGAUGACUAGCUAGCGAGGGUAAUAGUUGUGACACAUGCAAAAGAUUAGAACCUCCGGUCACUCAUGCUUGUGUUCAUGCACGUGUGACUCAAAUUUUGUACAUUAGCAUGUGUGACUUGCAAAACUGUUGUGCAUCAAAGAUGUUGAUUUAUAGAACACAUCAAUGCAAAACUGUAUUCAUGAUUUAUCUAUUAGGCAGUGCAUUUUAUUUUGCCAGUUCUCGAAAAUACAAAAUCAGCAUGUUUAUUGAGUUUAAGUUACUUUAAUAAACAAUUUCUUUUAGAAACUUGACUGAAAGUUUAAGCAAAUUGCAUAUUGGGGUUUUAGGACAGAGUAUGAUUAUUUUUUUCUCAUAUGUUCUUGACUGGGGGUAUCGAAACAGAUGGAAAUAGUUUACAAAAAGAAUUUAUGUGACAUGAGAGUUUAAAGCAAUUGCACGGUUUGUAUUUGUCAUAGCUUUAGAUAUGGAUGACAGAAAGAGAAAUCCAUUUGGAUCUUUUGCUUGCUGAAUUUGUUAUUAUCAAAUAUUGUAAAUCGUCGAUUUUAAUGACAAAAUUUUCCAUUGACAGCUUUUGCUUGCUAAGUUAGAUAUUAACUGUGUGAAUGGCUUUCUGUUUUGUUUCAUUAGAGCCUGGUUCCUUUCCAGAGCCUUUGUUUGUAACUGUGGUUUUCCAAUUGUGUUUUACUGAGCUAUCCCUUACAGAGGAUUCCUUCUGCAGGUACCAUGUUGGUUAACAUAUGAUUAUCCACAAGACGCCAGGGAAAAACUUAGGCAUCGAUGGGGUUCAGACUGGAAAGGUCAAGCACAAAAAUGGUGAGUACAUAUGCUUCUUCUUUUCCUCAUAGACGUUUGAUAUAUUUUGAUUUUACAUCCUUGAUAGAAACUGCAGCUUUGUAGAUAGUUCAAGUGAGGUAGAUUUUGCCCUUUUGUGAAAAUAUUGUGCAGUAUGAGCCAUUGCCUUAACAGAUAAGUUUAUAAUUUGUAAAGCUAUCUAUAAAGCCCAAAAUUCUGAAAAUUGGCUUCUGGUGCUAGUGGCCCACUACCAUCAAUUAAGUUACAUACUGUUCUCGCAUUUGCUGUUACCAUACUAAACCAGAUAAACCUACUAAUUGAGAGACAGGGAUAAAACUCUAUUUAUACAGGGACAUCAAUAGAGAUUGGAAAGUGCUACAUGUACAUGAUUGUCUACAUAAUGGCGUUCAUAAUUACACGUGGCGCUGGAUUCAACCUUUAAUUCAAAUCUUAGAUGAUUGCCACAUCACAUUAUGGAUACCAUCAUGUGUAAUAAUUAUGUACAAGUAGAAUUUUCCAUAGAGAUUCCUGUUGAUUCUACAAUCUUUGUGAAUAUGGAUUGAUUGGCCCUACAUGGGUACAUGUUAGGUUAGUGUUCGAGGGAGAGCAAUUUGCUAAAGCAUGAGAGAAGGAACAUUAAUGAUACAAGAAAGAGCCCUCAUUCCUGGGCGUGAGAGAACAAAGGUUACUGUUAUCUGAAAGUGUAUCCAAACAAACUUGAAUAGUGAAUUCAGUAACUAAUGAUUAGAGUUAACAAUUUCGUACAAUGGGUAUGUAAAUGAAAUCCUAGGAGAGGGUCAGAAAUUUUUAAUCUCGUUACUGUUAUGUUUUCUAACUGCAACAUACUCGUAUAAGUAACAAUGGGACUGCAAUAUUCUCUUGUUUUAGAUAUUGAUUUUAAUUAAUUAUUACUAAUUACUUAAUAUCUGCUAUACAACCUCUUCACACAAAUACACAACUAAUAUACAUUCACGAAUGAGAAGAUGCUUUGUUUUCUGUUCUGACUGUAUCUCAGCUGAUAUAUCUGACUUUGAAAUGUGCAAAACUUCACGUUUCUUUUUAAAUUCACUGGAAAGGAUGAAGAAAUCAAUCUUUUGGGUGAUGGGUCUGAGAAGCCUGAAUUCGGAGAAUGAUCAUGGCUGUCACCAGAAGAAAUAAUCAACGUCGUCAGUCCUCUCAUCUAACCUUUAAAAAUGUUUUGAAAUAAAUUUUUUGGUCUUUUCCUGUAAUACUGAAAUUUAACCUUUUUCUAUUUCUUUGCAGGCAGUGGGUUUCAAGAAGCCUGUAUAUCAGGAAGUUUUGACAACUUUCUCUCCACAUCUUGAGUAGAACAUUAAAGGUCGAUUUUUGUUCAAGGAACUGUUUUUCUGCCGAUUUGGGGGAAAUAUGCAAGGCCAUCAACUCACCUAAGAUUCUUGUAUUACAUUAGAGUUUUACUACACGUACUUCGGGGUUGACACUCCGGUGUACACUCCCCUCACCUGGGAGAUUCCAAAAUUUUUUUUAUUGUCAUGGGGCCCAUCCCCUCAUGUGAGGGGAGUGUUAACCUCGAUGUACAAAUAGCAUUUUCCUUUUCUAUGUCACUGUGAGGUAGCAUGGAAAAAUUUGCACCGCUAAUACGGACGUCUUUGUUUGAAGUCACAUACUCACAAUUUCAUUUGUAAUUUUGAGACAGGUUAUGGAGAGUUGAGUAGGAUUGUCUGCUCUCAUUUUCUCCUAUGACAAAUUUGUCCGGGAUAUGGACUUAUGCUAUGAUUUAAAUCAUGCUCAUGUUUGUCAAAUUAAUUUGUAUUUGUGGUAAUAUAAGUGGAAAUAAAGGCUCUAUGUUAUCGAAGUCGUGAC